CGGCAAUGAUGUAGCGACACAUCAAGCGGCAGACGAUAUAGCUGACAACAUCAAGCAUGUCCUGGAAUGUGCGGCCGCCAUAGCCAGGAAGGUUUUCUGGUUCGUCAUACCCCCUCGCCUCAAUGAAGGCGAAAACGGGAAGAAGAGGAUGCGUGUGAACGCAAUGACAAGGCAGCAUGUGGCAGCAAUGACAAACGUCAUCUGCAUAAAUUUGGAAGACAGGUUCCUUGGAAAAGCCAGGGCCAUGAAGCCAGCUUUCUACGGCGCUGACGGAUACCAUGUGUCCCGGGGAGCCGGCAUAAAGGCCCUGGCCAGGGCACUGAGCCUUGCCGUCAGGGCUGCUUUCAGAGCAGAAUGGCAGCCAUGUGGCAGGAAGACUGC
Molecule: long non-coding RNA, 381 nt
Filed under: Dermacentor andersoni
Lineage: Eukaryota; Metazoa; Arthropoda; Arachnida; Ixodida; Ixodidae
Description: uncharacterized LOC126526174
Source: RNAcentral